UCUCCUUUUGUCGGACAUAUCGGGCGCCCUUCAUAAGGGGCCGGUGUGUGGGAGGAUAUAGAUCAAUAUAGGUUUUGAAAUUCAAACUACUUUGAAUUCAAAACCAAUCCAACCUAAUCCUAUCACUAAUGGGUGACAAUAGGAGACUUUGGCAUGGAUUAUUCAGUGCACAAAAUAAUUUAUGUGAUGAAAGAAGGCAUGG
This 202-nucleotide long non-coding RNA is filed under the name Elaeis guineensis (African oil palm). RNAcentral describes it as "long non-coding RNA (EGUI_LNC039199)". The record is from RNAcentral. Lineage: Eukaryota; Viridiplantae; Streptophyta; Magnoliopsida; Arecales; Arecaceae.